CCCACUCCAUUGAUUUUCAAAGAGAUCAAAAGAAUUGACGUCCUGUGAUUUAUUUUCCCAAGACAUUUUUCAGCAUGACUCUCAAAGACGGGAUGAAAAAUCAAAUACACGUGGGGCUGGCUCAACAGCAUACGGCUUUUAAAUUCGAAUUUGAGAUCGCCCUCUUUUCCUUUUUUCCUCUUCCGGCAGAGCAGACACGAGGUCUUCUCCUGGGUUGCUGCCACCACCAGAUGUGGAGGUCUUAUUACACGCUUGAGUCUUCGGCACACCUCAAACCUGAGGGGCUCUUCCUCUUUAACGUGGGGGGGCUCUGGCUCCUGUUGCGUUAUCCUGAAGCUCCACUCCUGCCGCUCUGCCUGAAGAUCAUCUUUACGGAUGUCUCCUGGAAGUAUGAAGACAAACACGCGUGGUUUGGUAAAGUCAAGCUUCCCUCAAGCUAGAGUUAAAAGGCUGAAUAAAUACAAAAAAAAUUCCA
Hippocampus zosterae (dwarf seahorse) is the source of this 475-nucleotide long non-coding RNA. RefSeq lists it as uncharacterized. The transcript has 2 exons. NCBI's taxonomy places the organism in Eukaryota, Metazoa, Chordata, Actinopteri, Syngnathiformes, Syngnathidae. The record is from RefSeq and is a predicted model, not a curated record.